UACGGAGGGUGCAAGCGUUACUCGGAAUCACUGGGCGUAAAGGAUGCGUAGGCUGGAAAUCAAGUCGAGAGUGAAAUCCAACGGCUCAACCGUUGAACUGCUCUCGAAACUGGUUACCUAGAAUAUGGGAGAGGUAGAUGGAAUUGGUGGUGUAGGGGUAAAAUCCGUAGAUAUCACCAGGAAUACCGAUUGCGAAGGCGAUCUACUGGAACAUUAUUGACGCUGAGGCAUGAAAGCGUGGGGAGCAAACAGG
Molecule: ribosomal RNA, 253 nt
Filed under: uncultured bacterium
Lineage: Bacteria
Also listed under: 1 other name
Description: partial 16S ribosomal RNA
Rfam family: Bacterial small subunit ribosomal RNA
Source: RNAcentral